GACGAACGCUGGCGGCGUGCUUAACACAUGCAAGUCGAACGGAAAGGCCCUGCUUUUGUGGGGUGCUCGAGUGGCGAACGGGUGAGUAACACGUGAGUAACCUGCCCUUGACUUUGGGAUAACUUCAGGAAACUGGGGCUAAUACCGGAUAGGAGCUCCUGCUGCAUGGUGGGGGUUGGAAAGUUUCGGCGGUGGGGGAUGGACUCGCGGCUUAUCAGCUUGUUGGUGGGGUAGUGGCUUACCAAGGCUUUGACGGGUAGCCGGCCUGAGAGGGUGACCGGCCACAUUGGGCCUGAGAGACGGCCCAGACUCCUACGGGAGGCAGCAGUGGGGAGUCUUGCACAGUGGGCGGAAGCCUGAUGCAGCAACGCCGCGUGCGGGAUGACGGCCUUCGGGUUGUAAACCGCUUUCGCCUGUGACGAAGCGUGAGUGACGGUAAUGGGUAAAGAAGCACCGGCUAACUACGUG
RNAcentral lists this ribosomal RNA (468 nucleotides) under uncultured bacterium. Its description in RNAcentral is "partial 16S ribosomal RNA". It matches the Rfam family "Bacterial small subunit ribosomal RNA", at positions 28 to 507 of the family's 1533-position model. The record is from RNAcentral.